This 283-nucleotide ribosomal RNA is filed under the name uncultured bacterium. Its description in RNAcentral is "partial 16S ribosomal RNA". It matches the Rfam family "Bacterial small subunit ribosomal RNA", at positions 335 to 610 of the family's 1533-position model. The record is from RNAcentral.
AUCCCUACGGGACGCAGCAGUGGGGAAUAUUGCGCAAUGGGCGAAAGCCUGACGCAGCGACGCCGCGUGAGGGAUGAAGGUCUUCGGAUCGUAAACCUCUGUCAGCAGGGAAGAACGGUCACUGUGCUAAUCAGCAGCGAAUUGACGGUACCUGCAAAGGAAGCACCGGCUAACUCCGUGCCAGCAGCCGCGUUAAUACGGAGGGUGCGAGCGUUAUUCUGAUUUACUGGGCGUAAAGCGCUCGUAGGCGGUAUGUCAAGUCAAGGGUUAAAUCCCCGCCCCC